Molecule: ribosomal RNA, 1329 nt
Filed under: uncultured fungus
Lineage: Eukaryota; Fungi
Description: eukaryotic LSU rRNA
Rfam family: Eukaryotic large subunit ribosomal RNA (bases 662-1329)
Source: RNAcentral
CUUGGUCAUUUAGAGGAAGUAAAAGUCGUAACAAGGUUUCCGCAGGUGAACCUGCGGAAGGAUCAUUAAUGAAUUUCUAUAUGUGUGAGAUGGACUGAGGGGGUCGCAAGGCCUUUGACGUUUGUUUCCACUAUAUUUUUCACCCAUGGCUUGUUUAGUUUUUCUGUUUUGCAGGAAACGAAUGGUCAUGAUUUCCUUCGUACUAAUUUUGUCUGACCGAAAAUCGUUCUUCUCGAAAGGGAGGGGCGUAAUUUAAGCAAACUUUAAAAACUAUGAACAACGGAUCUCUUGGCUCUUGCAUCGAUGAAGAACGCAGCGAAACGCGAUAUGUAUUGUGAAUUGCAGAAUUCCGUGAAUCAUCGAAUCUUUGAACGCACAUUGCGCCUUGGGGUUAUCCCUCAAGGCAUGCCUGUCUGAGCGUCAGUAAAACAACCAAUCUUGUGAAUUGUUGGGGAGAGAGGGGGUGUUACAGCUCCUUUUCUUCUCUUCAGUCCAUGUUGUGAGCAGUGAAACUUUUAUCAAGUCUCUUGCUUGAAAGACAAUAGUUCGGUGGCAAGUAAACUGAUGUCCGCGACGAGUGUGAUAGGUUGAUCCAAUUCACUUUAAUCGUGCGUCAAAAGUCCUUGACCUACUCUUUACUUUAAAGAAUUGUACUAGAUUUUGACCUCAGAUCAGGUAAGAAUACCCGCUGAACUUAAGCAUAUCAAUAAGCGGAGGAAAAGAAACCAACAGGGAUGCCCUUAGUAACGGCGAGCGAAGCGGGCAAAGCUCAAAUUUGAAAUCAGGCGUGGGCCAUCCACGUCCGAGUUGUAAUUUCUAGAAACCAUUCCGGCAAUGGCCCUGGCCCAAGUCCGUUGGAAUACGGCGCACGAUAGGGUGAGAGCCCCGUAUCAGGUCAGAGGCGGGCGCUGUGUGGAAGGUUUUCGACGAGUCGAGUUGUUUGGGAAUGCAGCUCUAAAUGGGUGGUAAAUUCCAUCUAAAGCUAAAUAUUGGCAAGAGACCGAUAGCGCACAAGUAGAGUGAUCGAAAGGUGAAAAGAACUUUGGAAAGAGAGUCAAACAGUACGUGAAAUUGUUCAUAGGGAAGCGCUUCAUGCCAGAUUCGGUGGUGUCAGAACAUGGGAUUCUUCGGAGCCCUGCACUCUGGUCACCAACGGGCCAGCAUCGAUUGCUGCAGCGAGACGCAACCUGUCGGGAAUGUGGCUUUUCUUCGGAAACGUGUUAUAGCCCGGCAACGGCUGUCGCUAGCUGGCAAUCGAGGAACGCGCUCUUUACUGAGUUCGGAUGCUUGGCGAAAUGGCCUGCAGCGACCCGUCUUGAAACACGGACC